This is a long non-coding RNA of Anthonomus grandis grandis, 1058 nucleotides long. RefSeq lists it as uncharacterized. Lineage: Eukaryota; Metazoa; Arthropoda; Insecta; Coleoptera; Curculionidae. The transcript is spliced from 3 exons. The record is from RefSeq and is a predicted model, not a curated record.
AUAGAUUUAAAUUUACCAUGAAAUUAUCUGAAUAUUCCAAAUUGGGUAUCAAAUAGUGGCCUCAAAUAAAAUAAAUUACUAAAAUCUAGACACUCUAGGUGAAAAUAUUAAACUAAAGGUUGUUUUUGCCGAUGGAGACCAUUAAUUUCAGAAGAUUGACAGUCAAUGCAAGCAGAUAUACAAAAUCUGAAAAAAUUACAUUACCAGAAUUUACGAUAAAAUAACGUAAAUUAAGAUCCAGAUAGAACCAAAAUGAACCAAAAUGAACUACUAAAAACUAGAUAUAGAUGCCAAAUACAGAAGAGGAAUGGAAAACCAUUGAGGCGGGCUUUAAUACAAAAUGGAAUUUUCUUUAAUACAAAGUGAAUUUUUUAAGUAUAAAAAAACAAGCAGCAUAUUGUUAGCUAUUGUUGAUCACAACUACUGUUUUUCAUACAUAAACGUUGGCGCAAGUGGCAAUGCAUCUGAUGGUGGUGUUUUUAAAAACUGUUCAAUUCACGAGCAACUAGAAAAUGGCCUGUUACCUGAAGAUGGAGUUAUUGUUGGAGAUGCAGCAUUUCCGCUUAAGACAUAUUUAUUAAAGUCAUAUCCAGGCGUUAACCUCAGUACAGAAGAAAAAAUAUUUAAUUACAGGCUAUCACGUGCCAGACGUAUAGUCGAAAACGCUUUUGGGAUUUUAGUCAGUAGGUUUCGUAUUUUUGAAAAGGCAAUACCGACUAACUUGAAUAGGGUAGAUGCAAUCAUUUUUGCAACUUGUGCACUACAUAACUGGCUAAGAAAAAAAUCAAAAUCCUAUAUCACUCCAACUUGUAUAGAUAGGGAAGAUCAAGAUGGAAAUAUUAUACCAGGCUUAUGGAGGCAUGAAAUAACUCCCUUAAAAAGUAUCUCGAAUCAAGGAAGUAAUCAUUCAGCAAAUAUUGCUAGAGAAAAAAGAGAUAAAUAUAAGAUUUUUUUUAUGAACGACGGUAGUGUUUCGUGGCAAUUUGGUCACAUAUAGUAUUAUAAAAAUAGUAAAUAAUGUUAAACUAAACUUAUAAAUAUACAUAUUAUUUUUCUUA